ACAAACUUGGUCAUUUAGAGGAAGUAAAAGUCGUAACAAGGUCUCCGUUGGUGAACCAGCGGAGGGAUCAUUAAAGAGUUUUUACAACUCCCAAACCCCUGUGAACAUACCUUCUGUUGCCUCGGCAGGUCCUGGCCUACCCUGUAGCACCCUUACGUUGUAAGGAUUGCUUUAGGGGGAGCGUUAGGGGCACCCUGCCGGCGGCUCGCAAAACUCUGUUUAGCAUUGAAUUCUGAACAUAUAACUAAAUAAGUUAAAACUUUCAACAACGGAUCUCUUGGUUCUGGCAUCGAUGAAGAACGCAGC
RNAcentral lists this unclassified non-coding RNA (306 nucleotides) under uncultured fungus. RNAcentral's name for it is "partial contains small subunit ribosomal RNA, internal transcribed spacer 1, and 5.8S ribosomal RNA". The stretch from base 1 to 73 matches the Rfam family "Eukaryotic small subunit ribosomal RNA", at positions 1759 to 1831 of the family's 1831-position model. Lineage: Eukaryota; Fungi. The record is from RNAcentral.